Molecule: ribosomal RNA, 513 nt
Filed under: uncultured Pseudomonadota bacterium
Lineage: Bacteria; Pseudomonadati; Pseudomonadota
Description: bacterial SSU rRNA
Rfam family: Bacterial small subunit ribosomal RNA
Source: RNAcentral
GAGUGGCGGACGGGUGAGUAAUGCUUGGGAACUUGCCUUUGCGAGGGGGAUAACAGUUGGAAACGACUGCUAAUACCGCAUAAUGUCUUCGGACCAAACGGGGCUUCUGCUCCGGCGCAAAGAGAGGCCCAAGUGAAUUACCUACUUGGUAACGUAACGGCUUACCAAGGCGACGAUCUCUAGCUGGUCUGAAAGGAUGAUCAGCCACACUGGGACUGAGACACGGCCCAACUCCUACGGGAGGCAGCAUGGGGAAUAUUGGACAAUGGGCGAAAGCCUGAUCCACCAAUGCCGCGUGAGUGAUGAAGGCCUUAGGGUUGUAAAGCUCUUUUACCAGGGAUGAUAAUGACAGUACCUGGAGAAUAAGCUCCGGCUAACUCCGUGCCACAGCCCGGUAAUACGGAGGGAGCUAGCGUUGUUCGGAAUUACUGGGCGUAAAGCGCGCGUAAGCGGCUUUUCAAGUCGGGUGAAAUCCCGGACUCAACUCCGGAACUGCCCUUGAAACUAAUGGCU